AGUAUCUGUCGGGCAGGAGUGGUACAGACAGCAGGCCUAUCGAGCUGUGAAUCAAGCCAUUGGCAGAGUGAUCCGUCACAGAGAAGACUACGGAGCCAUCUUCCUCUGUGAUCACAGGUUCAGUGGCACCGAAGCCUGUAAUCAGCUUCCUCCUUGGGUGAGGCCAUAUGUUAAAAUUUAUGAUAACUUCGGUACCGUUGGUCCGUGAUGUGGUUCAUUUCUUUCGGACGGCGCAGAAAACAAGACCAGUUCCUGUUAGGAAAGAAAAAGCAGAGAGCAGUGAGAAGCAGGCAGACACCAGGCCGCUCAACAGAGGCUCCGGCUGUCCUCAUAAGAGUGUCUGGCUCAGUGUGCACAUCUC
Cyprinus carpio (common carp) is the source of this 361-nucleotide long non-coding RNA. RefSeq lists it as uncharacterized. Lineage: Eukaryota; Metazoa; Chordata; Actinopteri; Cypriniformes; Cyprinidae. The record is from RefSeq and is a predicted model, not a curated record. The transcript has 3 exons.